This 253-nucleotide ribosomal RNA is filed under the name uncultured bacterium. RNAcentral describes it as "partial 16S ribosomal RNA". It matches the Rfam family "Bacterial small subunit ribosomal RNA", at positions 524 to 776 of the family's 1533-position model. The record is from RNAcentral.
UACGUAGGGGGCCAGCGUUGUCCGAAGUUACUGGGCGUAAAGCGUGCGUAGGCGGUUCGCUGUGUCCGAUGUGAAAGCCCCGGGCUUAACCUGGGAAUGGCAUUGGAAACUGGCGGGCUUGAGUGCGGCAGAGGGGGGUGGAAUUCCGCGUGUAGCAGUGAAAUGCGUAGAGAUGCGGAGGAACACCGAUGGCGAAGGCAGCCCCCUGGGUCGACACUGACGCUCAGGCACGAAAGCGUGGGGAGCAAACAGG